GUAAUCGAUCAACCAUUCCAUUGCCGAAUGGUUCCGAUGCUACAGAUCCCCGAGACUCUCCUCUUAGGGGGUGUGACCAUGACUCUGUGCCUGGUCUGAGGAUGCCCUCCGUCGUCAUUCCUUAUAACCAGUUACCUGCCUUCAGACUUGGUCGGUACGGCGCACGUCCUACUGCCGGGAUACCCAACAUUUGACGAAAAUAUGCCCUUGUUUGCAGCCAUGCACAUGGCCAGACUCACAUGGCAUUCUUAUUCCUAGCCGAUUGAGGCACGGUCGUCGGCGCCAUUAUGCCUCCUAGGCUCGCAAUAGGCCUUAAUAACCCAAAUUUCCCACGCAUCCGCCGGCCUAUUCAGUCCCCACUUUCAGCCGUCGAGUUGACAGCGUCACGGAAACUAUGACAAACCGAACUUAAGCCAACUUCUACCGCCUUACUCUGUUCAUCGCCACUUUACGUAUCUAUACAGAGUCUUGGGGCUAACGCUUCCGUCAAUAGAUUCGGCAAUAACUGCGACUACGUGCUUUCGCACCCAUCGUUUGUCCUAAUCUAUGGGACCAUCAGGUGCGGGAUUUGCUACUAUUGAGCUACAACCGCUAUAUGUCAGUCGCAGAAUCGCUUUCGCAAUUCAUAGGUG
RNAcentral lists this ribosomal RNA (632 nucleotides) under uncultured bacterium. Its description in RNAcentral is "partial 16S ribosomal RNA". The record is from RNAcentral.